RNAcentral lists this ribosomal RNA (254 nucleotides) under uncultured bacterium. RNAcentral's name for it is "partial 16S ribosomal RNA". It matches the Rfam family "Bacterial small subunit ribosomal RNA", at positions 524 to 776 of the family's 1533-position model. The record is from RNAcentral.
UACGAAGGGGGCUAGCGUUGCUCGGAUUGACUGGGCGUAAAGGGCGCGUAGGCGGUUUGCAUAGUCAGACGUGAAAUUCCUGGGCUUAACCUGGGGGCUGCGUUUGAUACAUGCAGGCUUGAGUUCGGAAGAGGGUCGUGGAAUUCCCAGUGUAGAGGUGAAAUUCGUAGAUAUUGGGGAAGAACACCGGUGGCGAAGGCGGCGACCUGGUCCGAUACUGACGCUGAGGCGCGAAAGCGUGGGGAGCAAACAGG